This 486-nucleotide ribosomal RNA is filed under the name uncultured bacterium. RNAcentral's name for it is "bacterial SSU rRNA". It matches the Rfam family "Bacterial small subunit ribosomal RNA", at positions 28 to 526 of the family's 1533-position model. The record is from RNAcentral.
AACGAACGCUGGCGGCGCGCCUAACACAUGCAAGUCGAACGGGGGUCGCACCUUCGGGUGCGGCCCGAGUGGCGGACGGGUGAGUAACGCGUGGGAACCUGCCCCGGGCACCGGGACAACCGCGGGAAACUGCGGCUAAUACCGGAUGAUGCCAUUCGCAAGAGUGGCCAAAGUCGCGAUCUUCGGAUCGGGGCGGCGUGGGAGGGGCCCGCGUCCGAUUAGCUGGUUGGUGGGGUAACGGCCCACCAAGGCGGUGAUCGGUAGCUGGUCUGAGAGGACGAUCAGCCACACUGGGACUGAGACACGGCCCAGACUCCUACGGGAGGCAGCAGUGGGGAAUCUUGGACAAUGGGGGCAACCCUGAUCCAGCGACGCCGCGUGGGUGAUGAAGGCCUUCGGGUUGUAAAGCCCUUUCGCCGGGGACGAUGAUGACGGUACCCGGGGAAGAAGCACCGGCUAACUCCGUGCCAGCCGCCGCGGUAACAC